UUCGGCCAUAGUGGCGCACGGGUGAGUAACGCGUGGGAACCUGCCCAGCAGUGGGGGAUAACUUCGGGAAACCGGGGCUAAUACCGCAUACGCCCUUAGGGGGAAAGAUUUAUCGCUGUUGGAGGGGCCCGCGUCCGAUUAGUUUGUUGGUGGGGUAGUGGCCUACCAAGACUACGAUCGGUAGCUGGUCUGAGAGGAUGAUCAGCCACACUGGGACUGAGACACGGCCCAGACUCCUACGGGAGGCAGCAGUGGGGAAUAUUGGACAAUGGGCGCAAGCCUGAUCCAGCAAUGCCGCGUGAGUGAUGAAGGCCUUAGGGUUGUAAAGCUCUUUCGGCGGGGACGAUGAUGACGGUACCCGCAGAAGAAGCCCCGGCUAACUUCGUGCCAGCAGCCGCGGUAAUACGAAGGGGGCUAGCGUUGUUCGGAAUUACUGGGCGUAAAGAGCACGUAGGCGGUUCGUUAAA
RNAcentral lists this ribosomal RNA (467 nucleotides) under uncultured Magnetospirillum sp. Its description in RNAcentral is "bacterial SSU rRNA". It matches the Rfam family "Bacterial small subunit ribosomal RNA", at positions 85 to 587 of the family's 1533-position model. The record is from RNAcentral. Lineage: Bacteria; Pseudomonadati; Pseudomonadota; Alphaproteobacteria; Rhodospirillales; Rhodospirillaceae.